Molecule: transfer RNA, 72 nt
Filed under: Marmota marmota marmota (Alpine marmot)
Lineage: Eukaryota; Metazoa; Chordata; Mammalia; Rodentia; Sciuridae
Also listed under: 1 other name
Rfam family: tRNA
About the family: Transfer RNA (tRNA) molecules are approximately 80 nucleotides in length. Their secondary structure includes four short double-helical elements and three loops (D, anti-codon, and T loops).
Source: Rfam by way of RNAcentral
UGGGUUGUGGCUCAGUGGUAGAGCACUUGUCUCGCAGGUAUGAGGCCCUGGGUUCAAACCUCAGCACCACAU